GACGAACGUUGGCGGCGCGCCUAACACAUGCAAGUCGAACGGAGCUGAGAGAAGCUUGCUUUUCUUAGCUUAGUGGCGAACGGGUGAGUAACGCGUGAGUAACCUGCCCUGGAGUGGGGGACAACAGUUGGAAACGACUGCUAAUACCGCAUAAGCCCACGAUCCGGCAUCGGAUUGAGGGAAAAGGAUUUAUUCGCUUCAGGAUGGACUCGCGUCCAAUUAGCUAGUUGGUGAGGUAACGGCCCACCAAGGCGACGAUUGGUAGCCGGACUGAGAGGUUGAACGGCCACAUUGGGACUGAGACACGGCCCAGACUCCUACGGGAGGCAGCAGUGGGGGAUAUUGCACAAUGGGGGAAACCCUGAUGCAGCGACGCCGCGUGGAGGAAGAAGGUUUUCGGAUUGUAAACUCCUGUCGUUAGGGACGAUAAUGACGGUACCUAACAAGAAAGCACCGGCUAACUACGUG
Molecule: ribosomal RNA, 468 nt
Filed under: uncultured bacterium
Lineage: Bacteria
Description: partial 16S ribosomal RNA
Rfam family: Bacterial small subunit ribosomal RNA
Source: RNAcentral